GACGAACCGUCCAAACGUUAUUCGGAAUCACUGGGCUUACAGAGUUCGUAGGCGGUCUGGAAAGUCGGAUGUGAAAGCCCUGGGCUCAACCUAGGAAGUGCAUUCGAAACUUCCGAGCUGGAGUACUGGAGAGGAAGGCGGAAUUCUCGGUGUAGAGGUGAAGUUCGUAGAUAUCGAGAGGAACACCGGUGGCGAAGGCGGCCUUCUGGACAGUUACUGACGCUGAGACGCGAAAGCGUGGGGAGCAAACAGG
This 253-nucleotide ribosomal RNA is filed under the name uncultured bacterium. RNAcentral's name for it is "partial 16S ribosomal RNA". It matches the Rfam family "Bacterial small subunit ribosomal RNA", at positions 524 to 776 of the family's 1533-position model. The record is from RNAcentral.